RNAcentral lists this ribosomal RNA (284 nucleotides) under Lacticaseibacillus paracasei. RNAcentral's name for it is "Lactobacillus paracasei partial 16S ribosomal RNA". It matches the Rfam family "Bacterial small subunit ribosomal RNA", at positions 1 to 255 of the family's 1533-position model. The record is from RNAcentral. Lineage: Bacteria; Bacillati; Bacillota; Bacilli; Lactobacillales; Lactobacillaceae.
UUUAUAUGAGAGUUUGAUCCUGGCUCAGGAUGAACGCUGGCGGCGUGCCUAAUACAUGCAAGUCGAACGAGUUCUCGUUGAUGAUCGGUGCUUGCACCGAGAUUCAACAUGGAACGAGUGGCGGACGGGUGAGUAACACGUGGGUAACCUGCCCUUAAGUGGGGGAUAACAUUUGGAAACAGAUGCUAAUACCGCAUAGAUCCAAGAACCGCAUGGUUCUUGGCUGAAAGAUGGCGUAAGCUAUCGCUUUUGGAUGGACCCGCGGCGUAUUAGCUAGUUGGUGA